RNAcentral lists this ribosomal RNA (152 nucleotides) under uncultured bacterium. RNAcentral describes it as "partial 16S ribosomal RNA". It matches the Rfam family "Bacterial small subunit ribosomal RNA", at positions 201 to 354 of the family's 1533-position model. The record is from RNAcentral.
CCAAAGAUUUUAUCGCUGGAAAGAUGGCCUCGCGUCUGAUUAGCUAGUUGGUGGGGUAACGGCCACCAAGGCGACGAUCAGUAGCCGGACUGAGAGGUUGGCCGGCCACAUUGGGACUGAGAUACGGCCCAGACUCCUACGGAAGGCAGCAG